This 465-nucleotide ribosomal RNA is filed under the name Vreelandella stevensii. Its description in RNAcentral is "partial 16S ribosomal RNA". It matches the Rfam family "Bacterial small subunit ribosomal RNA", at positions 338 to 795 of the family's 1533-position model. The record is from RNAcentral. Lineage: Bacteria; Pseudomonadati; Pseudomonadota; Gammaproteobacteria; Oceanospirillales; Halomonadaceae.
CCUACGGGGGGCAGCAGUGGGGAAUAUUGGACAAUGGGCGAAAGCCUGAUCCAGCCAUGCCGCGUGUGUGAAGAAGGCCUUCGGGUUGUAAAGCACUUUCAGUGGGGAAGAAAGCCUUGGGGCUAAUACCCUCGAGGAAGGACAUCACCCACAGAAGAAGCACCGGCUAACUCCGUGCCAGCAGCCGCGGUAAUACGGAGGGUGCGAGCGUUAAUCGGAAUUACUGGGCGUAAAGCGCGCGUAGGCGGUCUGAUAAGCCGGUUGUGAAAGCCCCGGGCUCAACCUGGGAACGGCAUCCGGAACUGUCAGGCUAGAGUGCAGGAGAGGAAGGUAGAAUUCCCGGUGUAGCGGUGAAAUGCGUAGAGGUCGGGAGGAAUACCAGUGGCGAAGGCGGCCUUCUGGACUGACACUGACGCUGAGGUGCGAAAGCGUGGGUAGCAAACAGGAUUAGAUACCCUAGUAGUC